AGCUUUAUUGGGGCAAAAGCAGCAAUGUUUUGACCUACCGGUAAAGACCAGUACCAGGUCAACCGGUACAAAACAUUGCUGCUUUUGCCCCAAUAAAACU
Molecule: non-coding RNA, 100 nt
Organism: Pelobates cultripes (western spadefoot toad)
Lineage: Eukaryota; Metazoa; Chordata; Amphibia; Anura; Pelobatidae
Source: the annotation of a GenBank genome assembly